RNAcentral lists this long non-coding RNA (333 nucleotides) under Equus caballus (horse). Its description in RNAcentral is "lncRNA (ENSECAG00000048002.1)". The record is from RNAcentral. Lineage: Eukaryota; Metazoa; Chordata; Mammalia; Perissodactyla; Equidae.
CAGGGACAAAACAUCUUUGAGAUGAUGAGCAAUCCUGUCUGGGAAGAUAUCUCAGAACCGUCCCCACGGCUCAUGGCUGCUACUCUUGAAGACAGGCCACAGGAUUAAACAAGUAGGACAGUCAGUGGAAGCAGGAGCUGGGUCAGCCUUGGAGCCCCCCCGUUUACACCAGCCUGUCUGCCAGUGAAAAGGAGAAGACAGCAAAGAAUCAGAUUUGGGCAGGUGUGUCCCGGAGCCCUCUUUCUGGAAGUACAAAGAGGCUGGGCUUCUGGCUUCACUGCUUCCUGGCUGUGCAAUCUUGGUAAUAUCCCCAUAACGCCCGUUAAGCCCCUG